AGCUUUGCACAGUGGCAGUAUCGUAGCCAAUGAGGCUUAUCUGAGGUGCAAUUAUUGCUAAUUGAAAAGUUCCCAGUACCCUGCUGUGAUGACUUGCAAUAUAGUCAGCAUUGGCAACUUUUGACAGUCUCUAAGGAGA
This is a small nuclear RNA of Cebus imitator (Panamanian white-faced capuchin), 139 nucleotides long. Its record names the gene U4. It matches the Rfam family "U4 spliceosomal RNA". Rfam says of the family: U4 small nuclear RNA (U4 snRNA) is a component of the major U2-dependent spliceosome. The structure of U4 snRNA from yeast and human has been reported. The record is from Ensembl. NCBI's taxonomy places the organism in Eukaryota, Metazoa, Chordata, Mammalia, Primates, Cebidae.